This 253-nucleotide ribosomal RNA is filed under the name uncultured bacterium. RNAcentral's name for it is "partial 16S ribosomal RNA". It matches the Rfam family "Bacterial small subunit ribosomal RNA", at positions 524 to 776 of the family's 1533-position model. The record is from RNAcentral.
UACGAAGGGGGCUAGCGUUGCUCGGAAUCACUGGGCGUAAAGGGUGCGUAGGCGGGUCUUUAAGUCAGAGGUGAAAUCCUGGAGCUCAACUCCAGAACUGCCUUUGAUACUGAAAGUCUUGAGUAUGGGAGAGGUGAGUGGAACUUCGAGUGUAGAGGUGAAAUUCGUAGAUAUUCGCAAGAACACCAGUGGCGAAGGCGGCUCACUGGCCCAUUACUGACGCUGAGGCACGAAAGCGUGGGGAGCAAACAGG